GGCUCCCCCCCAACAUCGCCAGCGUAACGCCUUGGAAAAGGCAGGAUCCCGUGUGCACAACAGCCCCUGCAACGGGUCCUUUCUGGUUUUCUGCUUUUUCCUAGCUUUCACUGGUGGUAUCGGCGAAAAGCAUACGUUGUUGGACGUAUUAGCGGUUCAAAGCGAAAUCAUCAGACGAGGAAGACCGUUCGGGGAUCCAGGAUUCCAGAAAGUAGCGCGCGGGCGAGUUCGCUGAAAAAAAGAAAGGAAGUAGGCUUUCCGGACAAGAGGCGCCUCUGCGUCUUCAUUGGCCAUCCAUACGGCCGCCAGCACAUUGUAUUCAGCAUCCUGCAAAGCCUGUCGUGCCUCGAGAACACGGGCUCACUUCAACCACAUCCUGUGUUUUCGGCCACGCCAUAUCUCAGCAAAAGGAUACACGGAGCAAAGCCGUUAGAUUGCCUGUUGGAUCCGGGAGUCCGCUGUUCGGACUCUUGCGUGGUGUACAGCGAAGCGACAACCGACCAUCGACGAUUCGUCAGCCAUGAAUACGAUUCCAUACGAGCACCAUAGCGUCAGGCGGCGUUAAUCGUCUCGCCCUUGUCAGUGCAACACCAGUAGGUUUUGGAUGUCCGGUGCCCGAGCGUGCUGGUAAACAUCCACUCACCAUCACAAUCAACAACCCGGCGGUCGAGGGAUAAUGGCGUGGAAGUAGUGAAACCGUCAAGAAAAAGCAGAACAUCUCGUGCGGCGUACGUCAGAUGGUGACCGAACAUAUGAAAACUGCCGCCGUAAUCCCUGUCACCGCAAACCAUGUUUUGCCAGCAGAGCUCUACGGAAACCGUAAUAUUUCCCCCUUAAGGAAAUACGUACUUUUGUAGAAAAGAGAAGUGCUUAGUAUACCCC
Long non-coding RNA from Uranotaenia lowii, 882 nucleotides. RefSeq lists it as uncharacterized. NCBI's taxonomy places the organism in Eukaryota, Metazoa, Arthropoda, Insecta, Diptera, Culicidae. The transcript is spliced from 3 exons. The record is from RefSeq and is a predicted model, not a curated record.